RNAcentral lists this small RNA (105 nucleotides) under Escherichia coli. RNAcentral describes it as "partial RtT sRNA". It matches the Rfam family "RtT RNA", at positions 22 to 130 of the family's 130-position model. From Rfam's summary of the family: This family represents a bacterial cis-regulatory element known as RtT RNA. The exact function of RtT is unknown although it is thought that it may be involved in changing the cellular response in relation to amino acid starvation. RNAcentral also lists the same sequence under 1 other name. Lineage: Bacteria; Pseudomonadati; Pseudomonadota; Gammaproteobacteria; Enterobacterales; Enterobacteriaceae. The record is from RNAcentral.
AUUCGAACCUGCAGCAGGUUCGAGUUGAGCGCAGCGAAACAACGGAGCCGCUCGCGGCGACGGCCCGAAGGGCGAGCGAAGCGAGUCAUCCUGCACGACCCACCA